RNAcentral lists this transfer RNA (75 nucleotides) under Bacillota bacterium. RNAcentral describes it as "Firmicutes bacterium (anaerobic digester metagenome) tRNA-Ala". It matches the Rfam family "tRNA". Rfam says of the family: Transfer RNA (tRNA) molecules are approximately 80 nucleotides in length. Their secondary structure includes four short double-helical elements and three loops (D, anti-codon, and T loops). Further hydrogen bonds mediate the characteristic L-shaped molecular structure. tRNAs have two regions of fundamental functional importance: the anti-codon, which is responsible for specific mRNA codon recognition, and the 3' end, to which the tRNAs corresponding amino acid is attached (by aminoacyl-tRNA synthetases). tRNAs cope with the degeneracy of the genetic code in two manners: having more than one tRNA (with a specific anti-codon) for a particular amino acid; and 'wobble' base-pairing, i.e. permitting non-standard base-pairing at the 3rd anti-codon position. Lineage: Bacteria; Bacillati; Bacillota. The record is from RNAcentral.
GGGGAUGUAGCUCAGUGGGAGAGCGCCUACUUUGCAAGCAGGAAGUCGGCGGUUCGAAUCCGCUCAUCUCCACCA